GGGUUGUGAGGUUAAGCGACUAAGCGUACACGGUGGAUGCCCUGGCAGUCAGAGGCGAUGAAGGACGUGCUAAUCUGCGAAAAGCGUCGGUAAGGUGAUAUGAACCGUUAUAACCGGCGAUGUCCGAAUGGGGAAACCCAGUGCAAUUCGUUGCACUAUCGUUAACUGAAUACAUAGGUUAACGAGGCGAACCGGGGGAACUGAAACAUCUAAGUACCCCGAGGAAAAGAAAUCAACCGAGAUUCCCCCAGUAGCGGCGAGCGAACGGGGAGCAGCCCAGAGUCUGAAUCAGCUUGUGUGUUAGUGGAACGGUCUGGAAAGUCCGACGGUACAGGGUGAUAGUCCCGUACACCAAAAUGCACAGGUUGUGAACUCGAAGAGUAGGGCGGGACACGUGGUAUCCUGUCUGAAUAUGGGGGGACCAUCCUCCAAGGCUAAAUACUCCUGACUGACCGAUAGUGAACCAGUACCGUGAGGGAAAGGCGAAAAGAACCCCGGCGAGGGGAGUGAAAAAGAACCUGAAACCGUGUACGUACAAGCAGUGGGAGCACCUUCGGGUGUGACUGCGUACCUUUUGUAUAAUGGGUCAGCGACUUAUAUUCUGUAGCAAGGUUAACCGUAUAGGGGAGCCGCAGGGAAACCGAGUCUUAACUGGGCGUUAAGUUGCAGGGUAUAGACCCGAAACCCGGUGAUCUAGCCAUGGGCAGGUUGAAGGUUGGGUAACACUAACUGGAGGACCGAACCGACUAAUGUUGAAAAAUUAGCGGAUGACUUGUGGCUGGGGGUGAAAGGCCAAUCAAACCGGGAGAUAGCUGGUUCUCCCCGAAAGCUAUUUAGGUAGCGCCUCGUGAAUUCAUCUUCGGGGGUAGAGCACUGUUUCGGCUAGGGGGUCAUCCCGACUUACCAACCCGAUGCAAACUACGAAUACCGAAGAAUGUUAUCACGGGAGACACACGGCGGGUGCUAACGUCCGUCGUGAAGAGGGAAACAACCCAGACCGCCAGCUAAGGUCCCAAAGUCAUGGUUAAGUGGGAAACGAUGUGGGAAGGCACAGACAGCCAGGAUGUUGGCUUAGAAGCAGCCAUCAUUUAAAGAAAGCGUAAUAGCUCACUGGUCGAGUCGGCCUGCGCGGAAGAUGUAACGGGGCUAAACCAUGCACCGAAGCUGCGGCAGCGACACUAUGUGUUGUUGGGUAGGGGAGCGUUCUGUAAGCCUGCGAAGGUGUGCUGUGAGGCAUGCUGGAGGUAUCAGAAGUGCGAAUGCUGACAUAAGUAACGAUAAAGCGGGUGAAAAGCCCGCUCGCCGGAAGACCAAGGGUUCCUGUCCAACGUUAAUCGGGGCAGGGUGAGUCGACCCCUAAGGCGAGGCCGAAAGGCGUAGUCGAUGGGAAACAGGUUAAUAUUCCUGUACUUGGUGUUACUGCGAAGGGGGGACGGAGAAGGCUAUGUUAGCCGGGCGACGGUUGUCCCGGUUUAAGCAUGUAGGCUGGUUAUCCAGGCAAAUCCGGAUAAUCAAGGCUGAGGUGUGAUGACGAGGCACUACGGUGCUGAAGUAACAAAUGCCCUGCUUCCAGGAAAAGCCUCUAAGCAUCAGGUAACAUCAAAUCGUACCCCAAACCGACACAGGUGGUCAGGUAGAGAAUACCAAGGCGCUUGAGAGAACUCGGGUGAAGGAACUAGGCAAAAUGGUGCCGUAACUUCGGGAGAAGGCACGCUGGUGUGUAGGUGAAGUCCCUGCGGAUGGAGCUGAGACCAGUCGAAGAUACCAGCUGGCUGCAACUGUUUAUUAAAAACACAGCACUGUGCAAACACGAAAGUGGACGUAUACGGUGUGACGCCUGCCCGGUGCCGGAAGGUUAAUUGAUGGGGUUAUCCGUAAGGAGAAGCUCUUGAUCGAAGCCCCGGUAAACGGCGGCCGUAACUAUAACGGUCCUAAGGUAGCGAAAUUCCUUGUCGGGUAAGUUCCGACCUGCACGAAUGGCGUAAUGAUGGCCAGGCUGUCUCCACCCGAGACUCAGUGAAAUUGAACUCGCUGUGAAGAUGCAGUGUACCCGCGGCAAGACGGAAAGACCCCGUGAACCUUUACUAUAGCUUGACACUGAACAUUGAGCCUUGAUGUGUAGGAUAGGUGGGAGGCUUUGAAGCGUGGACGCCAGUCUGCGUGGAGCCAACCUUGAAAUACCACCCUUUAAUGUUUGAUGUUCUAACGUUGGCCCCUUACCGGGGUUGCGGACAGUGUCUGGUGGGUAGUUUGACUGGGGCGGUCUCCUCCCAAAGCGUAACGGAGGAGCACGAAGGUUAGCUAAUCCUGGUCGGACAUCAGGAGGUUAGUGCAAUGGCAUAAGCUAGCUUGACUGCGAGCGUGACGGCGCGAGCAGGUGCGAAAGCAGGUCAUAGUGAUCCGGUGGUUCUGAAUGGAAGGGCCAUCGCUCAACGGAUAAAAGGUACUCCGGGGAUAACAGGCUGAUACCGCCCAAGAGUUCAUAUCGACGGCGGUGUUUGGCACCUCGAUGUCGGCUCAUCACAUCCUGGGGCUGAAGUAGGUCCCAAGGGUAUGGCUGUUCGCCAUUUAAAGUGGUACGCGAGCUGGGUUUAGAACGUCGUGAGACAGUUCGGUCCCUAUCUGCCGUGGGCGCUGGAGAAUUGAGGGGGGCUGCUCCUAGUACGAGAGGACCGGAGUGGACGCAUCACUGGUGUUCGGGUUGUCAUGCCAAUGGCACUGCCCGGUAGCUAAAUGCGGAAGAGAUAAGUGCUGAAAGCAUCUAAGCACGAAACUUGCCCCGAGAUGAGUUCUCCCUGAGACUUUAAGUCUCCUGAAGGAACGUUGAAGACGACGACGUUGAUAGGCCGGGUGUGUAAGCGCAGCGAUGCGUUGAGCUAACCGGUACUAAUGAACCGUGAGGCUUAACCUUACAACGCCGAAG
RNAcentral lists this ribosomal RNA (2923 nucleotides) under Klebsiella pneumoniae. RNAcentral's name for it is "bacterial LSU rRNA". It matches the Rfam family "Bacterial large subunit ribosomal RNA". Lineage: Bacteria; Pseudomonadati; Pseudomonadota; Gammaproteobacteria; Enterobacterales; Enterobacteriaceae. The record is from RNAcentral. RNAcentral also lists the same sequence under 1 other name.